Molecule: ribosomal RNA, 491 nt
Filed under: Cladosporium pseudocladosporioides
Lineage: Eukaryota; Fungi; Ascomycota; Dothideomycetes; Cladosporiales; Cladosporiaceae
Description: eukaryotic LSU rRNA
Rfam family: 5.8S ribosomal RNA (bases 136-289)
Source: RNAcentral
CCGGGAUGUUCAUAACCCUUUGUUGUCCGACUCUGUUGCCUCCGGGGCGACCCUGCCUUCGGGCGGGGGCUCCGGGUGGACACUUCAAACUCUUGCGUAACUUUGCAGUCUGAGUAAACUUAAUUAAUAAAUUAAAACUUUUAACAACGGAUCUCUUGGUUCUGGCAUCGAUGAAGAACGCAGCGAAAUGCGAUAAGUAAUGUGAAUUGCAGAAUUCAGUGAAUCAUCGAAUCUUUGAACGCACAUUGCGCCCCCUGGUAUUCCGGGGGGCAUGCCUGUUCGAGCGUCAUUUCACCACUCAAGCCUCGCUUGGUAUUGGGCAACGCGGUCCGCCGCGUGCCUCAAAUCGACCGGCUGGGUCUUCUGUCCCCUAAGCGUUGUGGAAACUAUUCGCUAAAGGGUGUUCGGGAGGCUACGCCGUAAAACAACCCCAUUUCUAAGGUUGACCUCGGAUCAGGUAGGGAUACCCGCUGAACUUAAGCAUAUCAAUA